RNAcentral lists this ribosomal RNA (253 nucleotides) under uncultured bacterium. RNAcentral's name for it is "partial 16S ribosomal RNA". It matches the Rfam family "Bacterial small subunit ribosomal RNA", at positions 524 to 776 of the family's 1533-position model. The record is from RNAcentral.
UACGUAGGGUGCGAGCGUUAAUCGGAAUUACUGGGCGUAAAGCGUGCGCAGGCUGUUUUGUAAGUCAGAUGUGAAAUCCCCGAGCUCAACUUGGGAACUGCGUUUGAAACUACAAGACUAGAAUAUGUCAGAGGGGGGUAGAAUUCCACGUGUAGCAGUGAAAUGCGUAGAGAUGUGGAGGAAUACCAAUGGCGAAGGCAGCCCCCUGGGAUAAUAUUGACGCUCAUGCACGAAAGCGUGGGGAGCAAGCAGG